Molecule: ribosomal RNA, 253 nt
Filed under: uncultured bacterium
Lineage: Bacteria
Description: partial 16S ribosomal RNA
Rfam family: Bacterial small subunit ribosomal RNA
Source: RNAcentral
UACGGAGGGUGCAAGCGUUAUCCGGAUUCACUGGGUUUAAAGGGUGCGUAGGUGGGCCGGUAAGUCAGUGGUGAAAUCUCCAGGCUUAACUUGGAAACUGCCAUUGAUACUAUCAGUCUUGAAUACCGUGGAGGUCAGCGGAAUAUGUCAUGUAGCGGUGAAAUGCUUAGAUAUGACAUAGAACACCAAUUGCGAAGGCAGCUGGCUACACGAAUAUUGACACUGAUGCACGAAAGCGUGGGGAUCAAACAGG